GUGGGGAAUCUUGCGCAAUGGGCGAAAGCCUGACGCAGCCAUGCCGCGUGGAUGAUGAAGGUCUUAGGAUUGCAAAAUCCUUUCACCGGUGAAGAUAAUGACUGUAGCCGGAGAAGAAGCCCCGGCUAACUUCGUGCCAGCAGCCGCGGUAAUACGAAGGGGGCUAGCGUUGCUCGGAUUUACUGGGCGUAAAGGGCGCGUAGGCGGACAUUUAAGUCAGGGGUGAAAUCCCGGGGCUCAACCUCGGAACUGCCUUUGAUACUGGGUGUCUUGAGUAUGAGAGAGGUGUGUGGAACUCCGAGUGUAGAGGUGAAAUUCGUAGAUAUUCGGAAGAACACCAGUGGCGAAGGCGACACACUGGCUCAUUACUGACGCUGAGGCGCGAAAGCGUGGGGAGCAAACAGGAUUAGAUACCCUUGUAGUCC
Molecule: ribosomal RNA, 425 nt
Filed under: uncultured bacterium
Lineage: Bacteria
Description: partial 16S ribosomal RNA
Rfam family: Bacterial small subunit ribosomal RNA
Source: RNAcentral